Molecule: long non-coding RNA, 302 nt
Filed under: Mus caroli (Ryukyu mouse)
Lineage: Eukaryota; Metazoa; Chordata; Mammalia; Rodentia; Muridae
Description: predicted gene, 17634 (MGP_CAROLIEiJ_G0002382.1)
Source: RNAcentral
GGCACGUCCGACUGUCUGUCUGUCGGUCGGUCCCCAGUGGCCAACCUCUUGGUGUGGGUGGGGAAGCAGGGACGCGCCCUCCACCCACCGUAGACCAGCGAGCACCUAGACCGAGCGCGGAAGGAGGACCUGAACGGUAUCAGGUGUGACCUAGAGGCCGAGCACCACAGGCUAGAUCGACUGGGACUGGCCGAGACCCAGUGCUAUCUAAGGACAAUGACAUCUCAUCUCAAAAAAAAAAAAAAAAAAAAAAACAAAAGAAAAAGAAAAAGAGAAAAAUAGCAAAGUAUUUUGAGUACUUC